ACCUGGCUGGCUCAGUUGGAAGAGCAUGUGACUCUUGAUCUCGGGGUUGUGAGUUUGAGCCCCACUUUGGGUG
This 73-nucleotide transfer RNA is filed under the name Felis catus (domestic cat). It matches the Rfam family "tRNA". From Rfam's summary of the family: Transfer RNA (tRNA) molecules are approximately 80 nucleotides in length. Their secondary structure includes four short double-helical elements and three loops (D, anti-codon, and T loops). The record is from Rfam by way of RNAcentral. Lineage: Eukaryota; Metazoa; Chordata; Mammalia; Carnivora; Felidae.